GUAAUUAAUAAUUUAUGAAUAUUCAUUAGCUCGUGAUGGAUGGAGGAGGUGUGACGAAGAUGGAGACACAGGAGCACCUUGGCUCUCUGUCCAUACCAGGAGAAGAAGGCACGAAAAGGAUAGAAGAAGAGGAAAAUGAUGAUGCAGAAGAUGAUGAUGAUGAAGAUGAUGAAGAGGACGAUGAUGAGGAUGAUGAUGAGGACGAUGAUGAUAAUGAUGAGGAAGUAGAUGAGCCUAAGCUGAAGUAUGAGAGAAUAAGCAAUACUUUGGAGGAUAUCCUCAACACAGAUGCAGCCAGCUAUCUCGCUGUUCACAUCAAGUUUCUUGCUAUUGGUACCCAUUGGGGAGUGUUACAUGUUUUGGAUCAUCAAGGUAAUAACAUCAGUGGGAAAGAAUUCACUAAGCACACAACAACGGUAAAUCAGGUUAGUAUGGACAUGAACGGAGAUUACUUGGCUAGCUGCUCCGAUGAUGGAAGGGUUGCUAUCAUUGGAUUGUAUGAAGGAGAGCACAAUCAAGUCCAGUCCUUUGACAGACCAGUCAAGGCCGUGGCUCUCGAUCCCAAGUUUUCCCGUCCCGGAAGUGGAAAGCAGUUUAUUACAGGAAGUGAUCGGCUUGUUCUCCAUGAGAAAGGGUUCUUGGGUCGUAGCAAGUCCACCAUUCUACAUCACGGUGAAGGACCAAUCAGAAGCAUCAAGUGGAGAGGGUCAUUAGUGGCAUGGGCAAAUGAUCUGGGGGUUAAGGUAUAUGACAUGCAAUCCAAACGACGGAUCACCUUCAUCAAGAGGGAUCACCCGGAGGCUAUGAGACCAGAGAUAUAUCGAUGUAAUCUUUGUUGGAAGGAUGAUAAUACUCUCCUCAUUGGAUGGGCUAAUACAAUCAAGAUUUGCUCUGUUAAGGAGAGGAUAACACCAGAGAACAAAGAUUUACCAAGCAAAUAUGUUGAGAUAACAUCAAUGUUUUCUACUGACUUUACUGUUUGUGGAGUGGCUCCGCUUAGUGAAGAUCUGGUGGUUCUUGCUUUUGUGACCAGUGGGCCAAAAAAUGAUGGUGAAGAGAGUGGUGCUCGACGACCUCAGUUGAAGAUCAUAACACCUCUUCCUGAUGAUUAUCAGCUGGUGACUAGUGAUGCAUUAUCAAUGAGAGGCUUCCAGUCAUACAGACCAAAUGACUACCAUCUUGAAUAUGAAUCAGAUGAAGGGGUAUUUUACAUCGUCAGUCCAAAGGAUGUAGUGGUUGCUAGGCAACGAGACAUGGAUGAUCACAUCACCUGGCUCAUAGACCAAGAGAAAUACGAGGAGGCAUUAUCUGAAGCUCGUAUCCAUCACAAGGAUCUGGUUAAGAUUCGACCUCUAGACGUCGGCCACACCUAUCUAAAUCAUCUUAUCAGCACAGGAGAGUUUGAUAAAGCUGCUAGCCUCUGUCCUUUGAUUCUUGGUAAGAGCAAAGACCUUUGGGAGGAGGAAGUCUACAAGUUUGCCAAGCUUCAUAAACUCAAAGUAAUCAGUCAGUACAUUCCCAAGGGAGACAUGAGACUCUCUAAAGCAAUCUACGAGAUGAUACUAAAUGAAUACCUACAAACUGAUCUUCAGGGUUUCAAUAAAUUGAUCAAGGAAUGGCCUCAUGACCUGUAUGACCUGAUGACCGUGGUGUCGGCUGUUAUGGAACGUCUGACCAUUGACCCAAGGAAUCCUGUCUUGAUGCAGACUCUGGGGGAGCUCUACAUUUAUGAUCAGCGCUACGACAAAGCUCUUGCCAUUUACCUCGAAUUGGGGCAUGCAGAUGUGUUUAAGCUGAUUCACAAACGCAAUCUCUUUGACUCAAUCCAGGAUAAGAUUGUUCUUUUGAUGAAAUUUGACACUACUCAAGCCAUUGAGAUGCUCAUCACAAACUCUGACAAAGUAGCUGUUAAGAAAGUUGUAUCUCAAUUACACGAUCAUCGCCAGCUAUUGUAUCAGUACCUUGAUGCAUUGUUCCAGAAGGAUCCAAACCAAGGCAAAGAUUUCCAUGCCAUGCAAGUUGAGCUUUACGCCGAGUUUGACAGACCACGCCUUCUUCCUUUCCUCAAGACCAGUAACUUCUAUCCUUUACAGCAGGCCUUAGAACAAUGUGAACAGAGGAACUUCAUCAAGGAGAUGGUCUUUCUUCUUGGUCGGAUGGGUAACACCAAGCAAGCCCUGAGAUUAAUCACGGAGGAAUUGAAAGAUGUUGAGCAAGCGAUCAUCUUUGCCAAGGAACACGAUGAUGUAGAGCUAUGGGGUGACCUUAUUGAUUACUCAAUGGACAAACCACGUAAGACCUUAUUGAUUACUCUAUGGACAAACCACCUUUCAUCACCGGACUCCUGAACAAUAUUGGUACACAUGUUGAUCCUAUUAUACUAAUUAAGAGAAUUAAAGAAGGAAUGGAGAUUCCAGGGCUUAGAGAUUCACUUGUAAAGAUUCUACAUGACUACAACUUACAGAUCAUGUUGAGAGAAGGAUGUAAGAAGAUUCUGGUAUCGGAUUGUUUCUCGCUGAUGCAGCGGCUUAACAAAAUUCAGAAGAGAGGGGUCAGAAUAGGUGAUGCACAAACAUGUGAUUGCUGCCAUCAACCACUACAAAACACAG
RNAcentral lists this unclassified non-coding RNA (2609 nucleotides) under Lytechinus variegatus (green sea urchin). RNAcentral describes it as "vacuolar protein sorting-associated protein 41 homolog, transcript variant X1". The record is from RNAcentral. Lineage: Eukaryota; Metazoa; Echinodermata; Echinoidea; Temnopleuroida; Toxopneustidae.